This is a long non-coding RNA of Hyaena hyaena (striped hyena), 833 nucleotides long. RefSeq lists it as uncharacterized. The transcript has 2 exons. The record is from RefSeq and is a predicted model, not a curated record. Lineage: Eukaryota; Metazoa; Chordata; Mammalia; Carnivora; Hyaenidae.
CAGGUGGCGGUUGAUUUCGGGCAGCGUCUGGCUUAGUUACUCCGGGAUGCAUCAGAGUUGUCUCCCCUGACAACCCGGCUUAUACGCACCCUCCCUGUCCAAGGAAGAUCAGGACUGCCUUAAGGAUGCAGGAAAAACCCCGAGGCCCAGGAUGUGGGGAACUGGGCGCCCCCUCCCUUACCUCAGGACUGGUCACUGUCGAUGAUCAUCGGUCAAGCAUAACCAAGAGCCUGGACUCUAUUUGUGCACGCGGUCGUCUUCUAGGAACUAGAAAGUCACCUUUCAGGAGUCUGCAUUCCCAGCGGGACCUUCCUCGCUCGUGCCUUCCCUGCCUUCACCCAUGUGUUAGCUACCUGGAAGAGAGUCUGCUAGUAGGACCCGUUGCCGCACUCGUCUCCCCCUCAAGAUGCUCAGUAUUCUCCCUUCACUGCGGAGAGCGGAGCUUGGUCCAGGCAGCAGGAGAAGACAAAGACAAGGCCCUCAUGGGUCAAGGUCCCUUCAAGGUCGAGGCCCACAGGAUCCCUAAGUAGAGAGGGCUGGGCGUGAGCAGGAACCCCACUGCGGGCUCUUGUAGCAGUGAAGAGGAUGGGUCCCGUGCCCUCCUCAAAGCUCACUGCGCACCCAAAGGCUCUUCCAUUUACCAUCAACGUGGAAACUUGGCUCUUCCCAUGAGUAUAUUCUCCCUCUUUUUGUGCAUUAUCUUGUUCCUUAAAACUGCCCUUCCAUGAAGAAGGCCUGUGGGGUUAAGGGGCCUGGCCAGUCACGCAGAGGUGACUGAGCCCCUCAGACCUCAGAUUGGGUAGACAGAUUUAAUAAAGGCGUUAUGACCUUGA